UGAUACAGGAUAGACAUGAACAUUUAUAUCAAAUGCACAAAAAUUAGCAUUUUGUGGACAGAUUCCAUAAUUUUUUUAUCGUUCAUAAAAAAAAAAACCCCUCCACAUUCCAACUGCCCUUUCAACUUCUGAGCACCUCCGAAGGCGAUUGACAGCAAGUGCGUGUGGAGAAAUGAGCAUCCAUCCAUCCAUCUUCUACCGCUUAUCCGGGGCCGGGUCGCGGGGGCAACAGCUUUAGCAGGGAAGUCCGGACUUCCCUCUCCCUAGCUACUUCUUCCGGCUCUCCCUGGGGGACCCCGAGGCAUUCCCAUGCCAGCUGGGUGACAUAGUCUCUCCAGCGUGUCCUGGGUCUUCCUCAGGGUCUCCUCCCGGUGGGACAUGCCCGGAACACCUCGCCAGGGAGGCGUUCAGGAGGCAUCCGAAUCAGAUGCCCAUGCCACCUCAUCUGGCUCCUCUCGAUGUGGUGGAGAAGCGGCUCGACUCUGAGCCCAUCCCGGAUGACCGAGCUUCUCACUUUAUCUCUAAGGGAGAGCCCGGACACACUGCGGAGAAAACUCAUUUCGGCCGCUUGUAUCCGGGAUGUCGUUCUUUCGGUCACGACCCUUAGCUCGUGACCAUAGAUGAGGGUUGGAACGUAGAUCGACCGGUAAAUUGAGAGCUUCGCCCUUUGGCUCAGCUCCUUCUUCACCACGACAGACCGAUGCAACGUCCGCAUCACAGCAGACGCUGCACCGAUCCGCCUGUCGAUCUCUCGCUCCCUCCGGUCCUCACUCGUGAGCAAGAACCCAAGAUACUUAAACUCCUCCACUUGGGGCAAGAUCUCCCCACCGACCCGGAGGGGGCACUCCACCCUUUACCGACUGAGGACCAUGGUUUCAGAUUUGGAGGUGGUGAUUUUCAUCCCAACCGCUUCACACUCGGCUGCGAAACGCUCCAGUGAGAGUUGGAGGGCCUUUUUUGAAGGAGCCAACAGCACCACAUCAUCUGCAAAAAGCAGGGAUGCAAUACUGAGGCCACCAAAACGGAUCCCCUCAAUGCUUCGGCUGCGCCUAGAAAUUCUGUCCAUAAAGGUUAUGAACAGAAUCGGCGACAAAGGGCAGCCUUGGCGGAGUCCUACCCCCACUGGAAACGAUUCUUACUGCCGGCAAUGCGAACCAAACUCUGACAUUGGUGGUAUAGUGACCGAACAGCCCGUAUCAGGGGGUUCGGUACCCCAUACCCACGAAGCACCCCCCACAGAACACACCGAGAGACAUGGUCAAACGCCUUCUCCAAGUCCACAAAACACAUGCAGACUGGUUGGGCGAAUUCCCACAUACCCUCGAGGACCCUGCUAAGGGUGUAGAGCUGGUCCACUGUUCCACGGCCGGGACGAAAACCACACUGCUCCUCCUCAAUCUGAGGCUCGACUUCCUGACGGACCCUCCUCUCGAGCACCCCUGAAUAGACCUUACCAGGGAGGCUGAGGAGUGUGAUCCCUCUGUAGUUGAAACACACCCUCCGGUCCCCCUUUUUAAGAGGGACUACCACCCCGGUCUGCCAAUCCAGAGGCACUCUCCCCGUUGACCACGCGAUGUUGCAGAGGCGUGUCAACCAGGACAGCCCCACAACAUCCAGAGCCUUGAGGAACUGCGGGUGGAUCUCAUCCACCCCUGGGGCCUUGCCACCGAGGAGCUUUUUAACCACAUCGGUGACUUCAACAACAGAGAUAGUAGAGCCCACCUCAGGGUCCUCAGACUGCUUUGCCCAAGGAAGACGUGUUGGUGGAGUUGAGGAGGUCUUCGAAGUACUCGGCCCACCGGUUCACAACGUCCCGAGUCAAAGUCAGCAGCGCCCCAUCCCCACUGUACACAGUGUUAGUGGUGCACUGCUUCCCCCUCCUGAGACGUCGGAUGGUGGACCAGAAUUUCCUCGAAGCCGUCCGGAAGUCGGCCUCCAUGGCCUCACCGAACUCUUCCCACGCUCGGGUUUUAGCCUCGGCGACCACUGAAGCUGUGUUCCGCUUGGCCAGUCGAUACCCGUCAGCUGCCACUGGGGUUCCACAGGCCAUAAAGGCUCGAUAGGACUCCUUCUUCAGCUUGACGACAUCCCUUACUGCUGGUGUCCACCAGCGAGUACAAGGGUUGCCGCCACGCCAGGCACCAACCACCUUACGGCCACAACUCAGAUUGGCCGCCUCAACAAUAGAGGCACGGAACAUGGUCCACUCGACUCAAUGUCCCCCGUCUCCCCCGGAACAUGGGAAAAGCUCUGUCGUAGGUGGGAGUUGAAACUCCUUCGGACAGGGGAUUCCGCCAGACGCUCCCAACAAACCCUCACAAUACGUUUGGGUCUGUCAGGACGGACCGGCAUCUUCCCCCACCAUCGGAGCCUACUCACCACCAGGUGAUGAUCAGUUGUCAGGUCCGCCCCUCUCUUCACCCGAGUGUCCAAAACAUGUGUCCGCAAAUCCGAUGAUACAACCACAAGGUCGAUCAUCGAACUACGGGUGUCCUGGUGCCAAGUGCACAUAUGGACACUGUCCUGCCCACAGUAAAAGUUUCGGGCCAUUUCAUUAAUAGUAAUUUUGUUUAGAAUAUUGAUUAGUUAUCGCGGUGCAUUGUGGGUAGCAGAUGCCAUGUUUCAUCAGACGAGUCAUUACAGAAAGCCUGACCGUGGUCGUUGCAACUGUACCUCCUGAGUUAUAUUCCUUUCGUUUCACCUUCGAAAGCAAUGGCUUUUCACUCUACAAUUCAUUGAGCUGAUGUCACAGUUGUUCACUGUACGCCGUCAAGAAGACGUAAUAAAGGAGCAAGGCGCUCAGUUUCCUGGCUCAUGAAGAAAUGAGUUUGGCUUGCUUACUAUUAACAUUUAUAGUAUUUAACACGUAGCGAUAACAGUACAGUGAAAAGCCAUAUCAGCAGUUGAUGCAAGAUAGAACCACAACGCAGCGAUGGACAAUGCCCAAGAAGAAAUGGCUUACUCCGAAGCCAAAGCAUCAUCGAAGGCAUCAUCCAAACACUCAUCCAUAUUGUCCAGUGUACUGGAAGCAGCCAUCUUGGCAAGAGCCUCUGCAGAAGCUACAAAUGCUAAAGCUUCAUACAGGAAAAAACAAUUGGAAAUCAAGAAACAACAAGCAAAACUGGAAUUAGAAAAAGCAACAUUAGAGGCAGAUCUAGAUCUGCUGGAGAUGGAGAAGGAAGUGGCAGCCGCUACAGCGAAAGCUAGAAGCAGCUGUAGCGAUCGAACAUGGCAAAGCUGAAAGCGUCAAGAGUGCAGUCCCACUACAAGCAGUAAGAGAACGAACUAUGGAGUACGUGCAACACCAGACCCAGCUGAAGUCGCAAGUUCAACCGGCAAGGACACAAUUGUUCACCUCAAGGACACCCGAACAACACCGCUCUCCACCGGUACACAAGAAAACGUAUGUAAAGGAUGAAACACCUGACAUACCAAGAGACUAUGUGAAGCAUAGCUACCACGCUUCCCCCAAUAAUGAUCCACCCAUGGCAGACUUUACUAAGUUCCUUGCACGCAGAGAGUUAGUCACAACAGGGCUAUUUCAGUUUGACGACACCCCAGAAAACGCUAGAGCAUGGCAGUUGUCAUUCAUAAAUGCAACCGGAAAUGUUGGUCUCACAUGCAGUCAGAAGUUAGAUCUCCUAGUCAAGUGGCUCGGUAAAGAGUCCUCAGAAUACGAAAA
Long non-coding RNA from Hippocampus zosterae (dwarf seahorse), 3682 nucleotides. RefSeq lists it as uncharacterized. The record is from RefSeq and is a predicted model, not a curated record. The transcript is spliced from 2 exons. NCBI's taxonomy places the organism in Eukaryota, Metazoa, Chordata, Actinopteri, Syngnathiformes, Syngnathidae.